ACGCUGAUCGGGUAGGCCAGCCCGGUGUCGUUCUGACCGGCGCGCACCGUGUUCGGGUGCCCGUCGCCGUCC
This 72-nucleotide transfer RNA is filed under the name Cellulomonas composti. RNAcentral describes it as "tRNA-Gln". The record is from RNAcentral. Lineage: Bacteria; Bacillati; Actinomycetota; Actinomycetes; Micrococcales; Cellulomonadaceae.